GGAGGGAGCGAGCGUUGUUCGGAAUCACUGGGCGUAAAGGGCGCGUAGGCGGCCGAGUAAGUCGUGUGUGAAAGACCGGGGCUCAACUCCGUGUACUGCAUGCGAUACUGCCCGGCUAGAGUAAGGUAGAGGCGAGUGGAAUUCCCGGUGUAGCGGUGGAAUGCGUAGAUAUCGGGAAGAACACCUGUGGCGAAGGCGGCUCGCUGGGCCUUUUCUGACGCUGAAGUGCGAAAGCGUGGGUAGCAAACAGGAUUAGAUACCCUGGUAGUCCACGCCGUAAACGAUGGGCACUAGGCGUUGGGAGGAUUGACCCUCUCAGUGCCGUAGCUAACGCGUUAAGUGCCCCCGCCUGGGGAUACGGCCGCAAGGCUG
This 372-nucleotide ribosomal RNA is filed under the name uncultured organism. RNAcentral describes it as "partial 16S ribosomal RNA". It matches the Rfam family "Bacterial small subunit ribosomal RNA", at positions 527 to 896 of the family's 1533-position model. The record is from RNAcentral.